CCAGUAUAUAUCAUGUUUGUGUUUUUUUAACUUCCUGGGGUAUCAAGGAGUCAUACAGCUUUCUGUCAUGGAAAGCUUCCUCAAAGAGCUGAGGAGAGAGCUCUAAUGCUUGACAUUUUUGGAUGGUGUCCUAGUGGAAGGAAAGCUUUAUUCUUCUGAAGGAAGAAAUCUGAAGGAAUAACUGUAUUCUUCUGUGCCUGUGAG
This 204-nucleotide long non-coding RNA is filed under the name Anser brachyrhynchus (Pink-footed goose). RNAcentral describes it as "lncRNA (ENSABRG00000007794.1)". Lineage: Eukaryota; Metazoa; Chordata; Aves; Anseriformes; Anatidae. The record is from RNAcentral.